This 321-nucleotide ribosomal RNA is filed under the name uncultured eukaryote. RNAcentral's name for it is "partial 18S ribosomal RNA". It matches the Rfam family "Eukaryotic small subunit ribosomal RNA", at positions 1470 to 1796 of the family's 1831-position model. The record is from RNAcentral.
CCCUUAGAUGUCCUGGGCCGCACGCGCGCUACACUGACAUGUUCAACAAGCCUCCUAGUUCGACAGGAUUUGGGAAAUCUUUGAACGCAUGUCGUGAUAGGGAUAGAUCAUUGCAAUUAUUAAUCUUGAACGAGGAAUUCCUAGUAAACGCGAGUCAUCAGCUCGCAUUGAUUACGUCCCUGCCCUUUGUACACACCGCCCGUCGCACCUACCGAUUGAAUGUUUCGGUGAAGAUUCCGGAUAGGACUUUUUUGAUUUAUUUCAAUUUUGUCUUAAAAGCUAUCUAAACCUCAACAUUUAGAGGAAGGUGAAGUCGUAACA